AGCGAACGCUGGCGGCAGGCUUAACACAUGCAAGUCGAGCGGACCUUUCGGGGUCAGCGGCGGACGGGUGUGUAACGCGUGGGAACGUGCCUUCCGGUUCGGAAUAACCCUGGGAAACUAGGGCUAAUACCGGAUACGCCCUUAUGGGGAAAGGUUUACUGCCGGAAGAUCGGCCCGCGUCUGAUUAGCUAGUUGGUGGGGUAACGGCCUACCAAGGCGACGAUCAGUAGCUGGUCUGAGAGGAUGAUCAGCCACACUGGGACUGAGACACGGCCCAGACUCCUACGGGAGGCAGCAGUGGGGAAUAUUGGACAAUGGGCGCAAGCCUGAUCCAGCCAUGCCGCGUGAGUGAUGAAGGCCUUAGGGUUGUAAAGCUCUUUUAUCCGGGACGAUAAUGACGGUACCGGAGGAAUAAGCCCCGGCUAACUUCGUG
RNAcentral lists this ribosomal RNA (433 nucleotides) under uncultured bacterium. Its description in RNAcentral is "partial 16S ribosomal RNA". It matches the Rfam family "Bacterial small subunit ribosomal RNA", at positions 29 to 507 of the family's 1533-position model. The record is from RNAcentral.